AGGCGAAGCAGAGGAAGGAGCCGCCGAGAAAAGCCGCUAAAUUGGACGAGGUGCCCGUACCGCAAACCGACACAGGUAGGCGAGGAGAGAAUCCACAGACGAGCGGGAGAACCCUUGUUAAGGAACUCGGCAAAAAGACUCCGUAACUUCGGGAGAAGGAGUGCCGAAAGGCCGCAGAGAAGAGGCCCAAGCGACUGUUUACCAAAAACACAGGUAUCUGCGAAGUCGGAAGACGAAGUAUAGGUGCUGACGCCUGCCCGGUGCUGGAAGGUUAAGGGGAGGGGUGAAAGCUCCGAACUUAAGCCCCAGUAAACGGCGGCCGUAACUAUAACGGUCCUAAGGUAGCGAAAUUCCUUGUCGGGUAAGUUCCGACCUGCACGAAAGGCGUAACGACUUGGGCGCUGUCUCAACAAGGGGCCCGGUGAAAUUGUAGUAUGAGUGAAGAUGCUCAUUACCCGCGACAGGACAGAAAGACCCCGUGGAGCUUUACUGUAGGCUGUCACUGGACUUCGAUAUAUACUGUACAGGAUAGGUGGGAGACAGAGAAGGUAGUGCGCCAGCAUUACCGGAGUCGCCGGUGGGAUACCACUCUGUAUAUAUUGAGGUUCUAACCGUAGGCCGUGGAGCCGGCUAUGGGACACUGGCAGUUGGGCAGUUUGACUGGGGCGGUCGCCUCCUAAAGGGUAACGGAGGCGCCCAAAGGUUACCUCAGCGCGGAUAGGAAUCGCGCGAAGAGUGCAAAGGCAGAAGGUAGCUUAACUGCGAGUCAGACGAGACGAGCAGGUACGAAAGUAGGGCUUAGUGAUCCGGUGGUAUAGAGUGGAAUAGCCAUCGCGCAACGGAUAAAAGCUACCCCGGGGAUAACAGGCUGAUCUCCCCCAAGAGUCCACAUCGACGGGGAGGUUUGGCACCUCGAUGUCGGCUCAUCGCAUCCUGGGGCUGAAGUAGGUCCCAAGGGUUGGGCUGUUCGCCCAUUAAAGCGGUACGCGAGCUGGGUUCAGAACGUCGUGAGACAGUUCGGUCCCUAUCCGUCGCGGGCGCAGGAAAUUUGAGAGGAGCCUUUCCUAGUACGAGAGGACCGGAAAGGACGGACCGAUGGUGAACCAGUUGCAGUGCCAACUGCACGGCUGGGAAGCCAAGUCCGGGAGUGAUAAACGCUGAAAGCAUCUAAGCGUGAAGCACGCCUCAAGAUAAGAUUUCCCAUACCGUAAAGGUAGUAAGACCCCUCGAAGAAGACGAGGUAGAUAGGCUUAAGGUGUAAGAGCAGAAAUGCUUUAAGCUGGUAAGUACUAAUAGGUCGAGGCCUUGACCU
Molecule: ribosomal RNA, 1312 nt
Organism: Caldanaerobius fijiensis DSM 17918
Lineage: Bacteria; Bacillati; Bacillota; Clostridia; Thermoanaerobacterales; Thermoanaerobacteraceae
Rfam family: Bacterial large subunit ribosomal RNA
Source: Rfam